CAAACAACACCGCUGAAAUAUAGAGCCGGAAAACAGCGGAUUUAAUUAAAAUGGAAACAAGACGUUCACCCUCAGACCCAAUCCAUGUCCUCGGUCUCGAUGCAGCAGUAUACAUCACACCUCAUUAAAUACCAAAUCUGGAUCUGGGUUUUUUGUCUGGCUCCACUUCUGUGCCCGGGCUUUCUACAUUGAAGCAGAACAAAAGACAUAUCACAAGUCUACAGCAGUGCCUUCACCGGCCCACUGGUUUCAGGCACAAGGUCCCGAAACUGUGGAAGGACCGCUGUACCCGUGGUCAAGAACUAACCCCCUAAAACGAGCUCAAUGACCUGAGGCUCUGACCUCAAUAGUGAUGAAGGCUUUUGAGACGGUGGUCAAACAAAUCCUGACUGAUAAGAUUCACGGCCGGCUCGCCCGGAUGCAUUGUGCAUAACGGGCUAAUAAAGGGGGGGAUGAUGCUGCUACUACUUAACUUAAUUAUCUGUACAAGCAUCUGGAGUGCACACAAACUGAUGUAAGGCUUUUAUUACAAUCAAACAAAAACAUUUUAGCUAGUAAACGACUGUCC
Long non-coding RNA from Cottoperca gobio, 568 nucleotides. The record is from Ensembl. Lineage: Eukaryota; Metazoa; Chordata; Actinopteri; Perciformes; Bovichtidae.